Molecule: RNA transcript, 1868 nt
Organism: Folsomia candida
Lineage: Eukaryota; Metazoa; Arthropoda; Collembola; Entomobryomorpha; Isotomidae
Exons: 3
Source: RefSeq, a predicted model, not a curated record
UCUGCAAGUGAACGUACAGACAUGCUAUGCAGAUUUGAUAGACAAACAGAUGUGAUAAUCUGUAUGUACAUACAUAUUCGCAUGUACGUAUCAUCAAGCAGCAAUACAAAAACGAGGAACAAGGCUACGCUAACCUAGAGUCGAAUAUUUCUCCCAGCUUUUCACAAAACCAGAUACGAUAAUAUAAAUACAGAUACGUUUAUUUCAGAAAUUAAUACCUAAUAAUAUUUAAGAAAAGGUUAAAGAACGAUUUUACAUAAAAUGCAUAAAAUAAAAUUUUUAAAUAAAAUUUUUAAAAUUUUUUACAUAAAAUUAUACGAAUGCAUUUUGCAUUUGUAUAAUUAUAUUUUUUAAUUAAUUAAAGAAUGUAAGAUUUAAAACAAACAUUACUGGAACCUGCGUUUAAAAAAUUUAAAAUAUCUGCAAAUACUCCUUAAAGUAAUCUUGGGAUGGAAAUUCAGCAAGGAUUUACACAUCAGUCCAACACGUGCCUUGUUGAACAGGUCGUGACCAUAAUUUGCAAAUAUUUGCCCGUCCAGGACAUCAAGAAUGCAAGGUUAAUUAGCAAAGUGUGGAAUUAUGGGGCAUCGUACCGCCUAAAGGAAGUUACCCGACUGUAUCUUGACUUUGACCAUAAAAAUUUUGACCUGAAUUUAAUUAAGCAACAAUUAAAUUUCCGACCACACCACGUGACCAUCCUUGUCCGAGGCCUUACCCCGAUGAAGGGAGGAUUACCAUGUCAACCGGAAGUCCUGGUUCCGUCCGGACUGAAUUUAAAAAGUUUAUGGAUAACUGGCUUCGCACGGAGUAAUAUGAAAGAUGUCGAGGUGCUAAUUGUUGGCGAAAUUUUUGCAAAAAGUUACACAACCCUAGAAGAGAUUAAAUACUAUGGGUAUAUCUGGCCAAAAUUUGGGGAGGAGGUGGUAUUCAAAAAAGUGAAGAGGUUGGCUAUACGUUCCCUCCACUGGGGACAAUUAUCCCACGUGUCGCAAAUUUUUCUUAACACGUGUCCCAACUUGGAGCGCCUAGAGAUGGAUUAUUCCGGAAGGAGCUUGUGGAAGAAGAAUCCUACUCAUUUUCCAGGGUAAAUUUGCACACACUAAAUAAAUUUGGAGCUCCUUAACAAGUUUAAUCUUCACCACGGAAUUCCUCCAAGAUACCUGGAUUUCCAAAAAUUUCGCCCAAAGACUUUUAAACUUCCCGAAUCCUCUCCGAGUCCUGCACUUUUAUCAAUACUUUGACGAAACCGAUCCGGAACCCUGGUUCUUUCGGCUGCUGCACAAACAUCACGGCACCCUUACCGAUCUCGGUGUCACGUUAACGGGUUAUUCUCCAGACCUCGUCCUUCCCCCACUUCCGGUUCUGGAAUCUCUGGAUAUUAGUACCCGUGGGGAUUACGACGUUUGGUGGGCGGACGAGGUCAACCCCACGGAAAGGGUGGACUAUUCAAAAUUUUUACCGAAAUUAGCCCGCCUUCAUUUAAAAUGUGGCGCAGGCGUGGAAAGUUUCGACUUGCUGGAUUCCUUCGUGCCGAACGAGCUGAAGGACUAUGUCGGACCGGAGUGCAGAACUGUGAGGGAGGUUUUUAUCCAGGAAAAUCCGGAGACCCCGGAAACAUUGAUGGAACGGUUGUAUCAGUACGGGUUUUUGCGAAGGGUUUGGCCAGAAGCGGAAAUCAAGUGGCAUACUGUGUUCAAAACUACUCCAAUCAAUAUGGAUACAUAAGUGCUCACUUUUGACCAGCUGAUUUUGAAAGAAAUUUAACAUUGUCCAAAUCUGAGAGUUACAUUGGAAAGAGUUACAUUGUUGGGAUAAUUGUCUGAAAAUAAAACUAAUGCAAAGAAACUCCAGUUGUUUGAUUUAAAAUG